AAAAAAGAAGGAAUUCAAGACAAUGUAAAUUUUUCACUAAGACAAUGAGGGAACUGAAGAAGAUGCAUCAAUGGCAAUAGGCUCAACUUGGACAGGAGAAUCAGCGGUUACACGUUGAUCUUGACUCACAACAACAGAUUCAACUUGGGCAAGAUCAUAAGCAGAUGCAGUUUCAACUUGGCUUGCAGCAAUAGGUUCGAUUAGGCUCGAAGAAGAUGUGAUACCCGUAUGAGCUUCAACCACGGGAGCUUCAAUCAAUGGAGAAGGAAAGUCCUAUGCUUGCUAAGAUUGUUCAAUGGUUUCAUUAACCUUAGCUAAUUCUGACUCCAGGUCGAAGUUUUCUUGACCAACUUCAAUUAAGGUAUCACGACGUGAAUUCAAAAAAGCCCAACUUACCUCAACAUCAAAAUUUUCUUCAAGAAUCUCAUAAUCCUUUUUCCAAGCAGCAACCUCAUUCUUGAGCUCUUAAUUUUUGGCCAAGGAGGAAUUACAAGAAGCUUGAAGAGAACCAUGAGAGCUCUCUAAAGCACGUACCUUAUCAGUAGAGACUUGAAGAUCUUCUUAUGCUUGAGUUAAGUUUUGUACGAGCUCUUCAGCAUAAACUUAUUUUUAAUUCAACAGAGCCUUCAACGCCAUGUUCUCUUCGCUGGCCUUAGAUAGUUGUUAUGAAAAGGAGGAUUCAAGGCGUUCUUUUUCUUUUUCUUCUUGCUCAAGGAAUCCUUGAUAAGCGCUAUCUUCGAAGUUAAUGCUCAUACCUGUUGCUCUAAGGUACUCCUGCUCUCUUGUAAAUCCUUCAUGUUAAUUUGAGCACUGUCAAAUUGUUCCUUCUAAUUGACUGUUUCCAACUGAGAAUCACAUGCAACCUUCUCUGAAUCACAUGCUGCAUUCUCCAAGAGGGAGAUUCUGUUCAUCAGAUCUGUGCCAAUAAGAUUUGCCUAAGAAAAAGGAAGGGAAAUAAGAAUCCCAAAGAUAGAAAUUUUU
This 981-nucleotide long non-coding RNA is filed under the name Nicotiana benthamiana. RNAcentral's name for it is "long non-coding RNA (NBEN_LNC041443)". Lineage: Eukaryota; Viridiplantae; Streptophyta; Magnoliopsida; Solanales; Solanaceae. The record is from RNAcentral.